CGUAGCUCAGUUGGUAGAGCGCUCGAUUGUUAAUCGAAUGGCCGCAGGUUCAAGUCCUGCCGG
This 63-nucleotide transfer RNA is filed under the name marine eukaryotic metagenome. It matches the Rfam family "tRNA", at positions 6 to 65 of the family's 71-position model. From Rfam's summary of the family: Transfer RNA (tRNA) molecules are approximately 80 nucleotides in length. Their secondary structure includes four short double-helical elements and three loops (D, anti-codon, and T loops). Further hydrogen bonds mediate the characteristic L-shaped molecular structure. tRNAs have two regions of fundamental functional importance: the anti-codon, which is responsible for specific mRNA codon recognition, and the 3' end, to which the tRNAs corresponding amino acid is attached (by aminoacyl-tRNA synthetases). tRNAs cope with the degeneracy of the genetic code in two manners: having more than one tRNA (with a specific anti-codon) for a particular amino acid; and 'wobble' base-pairing, i.e. permitting non-standard base-pairing at the 3rd anti-codon position. The record is from RNAcentral.